This 284-nucleotide unclassified non-coding RNA is filed under the name plant metagenome. RNAcentral's name for it is "partial contains small subunit ribosomal RNA, internal transcribed spacer 1, and 5.8S ribosomal RNA". The stretch from base 1 to 53 matches the Rfam family "Eukaryotic small subunit ribosomal RNA", at positions 1778 to 1831 of the family's 1831-position model. The record is from RNAcentral.
GGAAGUAAAAGUCGUAACAAGUUUCCGUAGGUGAACCUGCGGAAGGAUCAUUAUUGUAUAACCGAGGUGCGAGGGCUGUCGCUGACCCGAAAGGUCGUGCACGCCCGAGUGCCCUCACACACAUCCAUCUCACCCCUAUGUGCACCACCGCGUGGGUCCCCCUUUGGCUUGUUCGGAGGGGGGCUUACGUUUUCACACAAACUUUGUAUGCAGUGUAGAAUGUAUUUUUUGUUUUUGCGAUCACGCAAUCAAUACAACUUUCAACAACGGAUCUCUUGGCUCUC